Molecule: long non-coding RNA, 499 nt
Organism: Pelobates fuscus (common spadefoot toad)
Lineage: Eukaryota; Metazoa; Chordata; Amphibia; Anura; Pelobatidae
Exons: 3
Source: RefSeq, a predicted model, not a curated record
CAACCAAAUCCGUCGGUCACCGAAUUCAGUAAUCUCCGUCUCUUUGUCCAUUCUCUCUGACAAGCAUGUUCUCCUAUGGGACACGAAGUACAUGAAGAGGAAUGAAGAAGCCCAUGUUUGAUGCUCGUCUCCAGGGUGGAGAAUUUAAUUUAUAAGUAAUGAAGUGGCAUCUGACACGUGACAAGCUGCUCCUGUUUGCACAGCAACUUCAACAUUGUGUACUGUGAUCACGGCCUAGUUCAGAGAUCUGGUGUCCCAGUACGGGAUAGAGACCAUCGUUCUGUUUAACAAGAGGAUAGUUGUGCAUCAUCUAUGACUGGCGGCUCAGCAGGAAUUCAACAGGUUCUUGAAAUGGAAACCUCUGUUGCAUUAGACCCAAUUCUGAUAUUAUGACCGAACCCUAAAGCACUUAAUAUUUUUAUGAUAUUUUAUUUAUGUAUUUUGAAUGUUGUGCAAAGACCCCAGAUGGUCACUGUUCCACUUGUAUUCCAGUGGCCAU